This 484-nucleotide ribosomal RNA is filed under the name uncultured bacterium. RNAcentral describes it as "partial 16S ribosomal RNA". It matches the Rfam family "Bacterial small subunit ribosomal RNA", at positions 30 to 507 of the family's 1533-position model. The record is from RNAcentral.
AUUGAACGCUGGCGGCAGGCCUAACACAUGCAAGUCGAGCGGAUGAAGGGAGCUUGCUCCUGGAUUCAGCGGCGGACGGGUGAGUAAUGCCUAGGAAUCUGCCUGGUAGUGGGGGAUAACGUCCGGAAACGGGCGCUAAUACCGCAUACGUCCUGAGGGAGAAAGUGGGGGAUCUUCGGACCUCACGCUAUCAGAUGAGCCUAGGUCGGAUUAGCUAGUUGGUUGGGUAAAGGCCUACCAAGGCGACGAUCCGUAACUGGUCUGAGAGGAUGAUCAGUCACACUGGAACUGAGACACGGUCCAGACUCCUACGGGAGGCAGCAGUGGGGAAUAUUGGACAAUGGGCGAAAGCCUGAUCCAGCCACGCCGCGUGUGUGAAGAAGGUCUUCGGAUUGUAAAGCACUUUAAGUUGGGAGGAAGGGCAGUAAGUUAAUACCUUGCUGUUUUGACGUUACCAACAGAAUAAGCACCGGCUAACUUCGUG